Molecule: long non-coding RNA, 598 nt
Filed under: Pan troglodytes (chimpanzee)
Lineage: Eukaryota; Metazoa; Chordata; Mammalia; Primates; Hominidae
Description: long non-coding RNA NONPTRT014675
Source: RNAcentral
UGCCCACCCAUAUCCUCUGUGCCCUUCACUGUGCUCAGCCUUGCUCCCAACUGUCAGUAGCUGCCUUUUGGUGCCUAGGAGCUUUUUUUUUUUUCUCCUGAACCGCAGAACGCCAGAAGUGCCAAGCAAUUAACAACCCCAGAAGCAACCCUUAACCAAUGAUUAAAUAAAGUGGAUGAUUACAUACCCAAGCUCCUUCAACUCCCAGGGACAUAAUUCUGAGGGAUGGAAAACAAACUGAAACUGGCUCAAGUGAAGGCUCACUGGAAGGCUUACUGGAAAACUUACUGGAAGGAUGUGAGGAGAUGUUCGGGAAUCUAUUUGCAGAAAACAUGUUCAGCCCUGUCCACCACAGCCAGCUGGCUGAAGAGCUCAAAAGGCAAGAAAUCAGCAAGAGAGAGAUAUGAAGCAUGAGAAAUGAGCAAAAAACACCCAGCACAUCAUAAUCAUGGACAGUUUAGCAGUACAUGAAAAUAGAUGGUCCUCGCCCCAAGGGACUGCAGUAACCCUGAAUAAACAGGAUAUCUCUCACUUUUAGCAGUUCUUUCUGUGCUAGUAUUGGGGAAAUAUAUUUUUGGCUGCAUGCAAAAUGGUAAAA